Molecule: ribosomal RNA, 473 nt
Filed under: uncultured bacterium
Lineage: Bacteria
Description: partial 16S ribosomal RNA
Rfam family: Bacterial small subunit ribosomal RNA
Source: RNAcentral
GACGAACGCUGGCGGCGUGCUUAACACAUGCAAGUCGAACGGUAAGGCCCUUCGGGGUACACGAGUGGCGAACGGGUGAGUAACACGUGGGUGAUCUGCCCUGCACUUCGGGAUAAGCCUGGGAACCUGGGUCUAAUACCGGAUAGGACCACUGCCUGCAUGGGUGGUAGUGGAAAGCUUUUGCGGUGUGGGAUGGGCCCGCGGCCUAUCAGCUUGUUGGUGGGGUGAUGGCCUACCAAGGCGACGACGGGUAGCCGGCCUGAGAGGGUGACCGGCCACUCUGGGACUGAGAUACGGCCCAGACUCCUACGGGAGGCAGCAGUGGGGAAUAUUGCACAAUGGGCGCAAGCCUGAUGCAGCGACGCCGCGUGAGGGAUGACGGCCUUCGGGUUGUAAACUUCUUUUAUAUUUGAAGAUUAUGACGGUAAAAUAUGAAUAAGCAUCGGCUAACUACGUGCCAGCCGCCGCCGUAA